Molecule: ribosomal RNA, 253 nt
Filed under: uncultured Lachnospiraceae bacterium
Lineage: Bacteria; Bacillati; Bacillota; Clostridia; Lachnospirales; Lachnospiraceae
Description: partial 16S ribosomal RNA
Rfam family: Bacterial small subunit ribosomal RNA
Source: RNAcentral
UACGUAUGGAGCAAGCGUUAUCCGGAUUUACUGGGUGUAAAGGGAGCGUAGGCGGUAAGGCAAGUCUGAUGUGAAAGGCCAGGGCUCAACCCUGGGACUGCAUUGGAAACUGUUUAACUGGAGUGUCGGAGAGGCAAGUGGAAUUCCUAGUGUAGCGGUGAAAUGCGUAGAUAUUAGGAGGAACACCAGUGGCGAAGGCGGGUUCCUGGACAUUAACUGACGCUGAGGCACGAAGGCCAGGGGAGCGAAAGGG